AUUACCCGGAUACGCAUAAUUUCGCGAUUAUAAUUUUAGGACGAACGAAGAAAAGAAACAGAAAAAGAAACUAUAGGAUAAGAAGAGAAACUAUGAUCGAAUAUGAGGGUAUUAGAAGGGUCGAACUCCGUCCAGAAGACAAGCGGAAUCCUAUGAAAUACGUGGAGAACGAAGCGAGAGAUAGGGGUGAGGUGGAGGGUGGAGGAGUAAGGUGAAGUUAGAGAGGAAGGAGCGGGAGGCACUAGGUGCUGUUUGUUGAAUCCUCGAGAUCAAUACAACCCGGUCUAUCUCUUUCUGCCCUCGUAAUUCCGUGUGCCUAAAUGUGCGCGGGCACGUUCGACGUGUGUUGAUGGUGAUUGUGGUGGUGGUGGUGGUGCACAAUGUUGCACUCAAACGCACACGUUCAAACGUAUCGUGUGUGUGUGUGUGUGUGUAUAUAUAUAUCGGUCGCGGCGAAAUGCGACGCGUCAAGAUGAGAAAGCGACAGAGAGCAAAUGAAACGCGCCUCCGUGUUUCUGGCUACCAGUUUUAGCUAUGCGUGUCAAUAUUUUAAAAGCAUCCCGGAGAUACUCGCUAAAAGACAAACGAAUAUUACGCCCCAAAUUCGUUUCAUCAACGCCACGAAACGUUCGAAAUAAUUCGCCCCGUUUUUUUCCUUUGUAA
Molecule: long non-coding RNA, 663 nt
Organism: Apis florea (little honeybee)
Lineage: Eukaryota; Metazoa; Arthropoda; Insecta; Hymenoptera; Apidae
Source: RefSeq, a predicted model, not a curated record